CAGCCGCCGCGGUAAUACCGGCGGCCCGAGUGGCGGUCACUAUUAUUGGGCUUAAAGCGUCCGUUGCCGGGUUGGGAAGUCCUUCGGGAAAUCUUGCCGCUUAACGGUUAGAAUGCCGGAGGAUACUCCCAGCCUAGGGAGCGGGAGAGGCCGAGGGUAAUCCCGGAGUAGGGGGGAAAUCCUAUAAUCCCGGGAGGACCACCUGUGGCGAAGGCGCUCGGCUGGAACGCGUCCGACGGUGAGGGACGAAGGCCAGGGGAGCAAACCAGAUUACAUACCCGGGUAGUCCUGGCUGUAAACGAUGCGGACUUUGUGUCGGACAAGCUAUGAGCUUGUCCGAUGCCGGAGGGAAACCGUUAAGUCCGCCGCCUGGGGAGUACGGCCGCAAGGAUGAAACUUAAAGGAAUUGGCGGG
This 414-nucleotide ribosomal RNA is filed under the name uncultured microorganism. RNAcentral describes it as "bacterial SSU rRNA". It matches the Rfam family "Archaeal small subunit ribosomal RNA", at positions 459 to 872 of the family's 1478-position model. The record is from RNAcentral.